AGCCCCAAAUGUCCGUGGAACCGGCCCCACUAACCUGCAUCCAGCUGCCUCUUCCACCUGGGCCCUGCUCUCAGAUGGAAGUGUCACCAAACACCCAGAUCGCCGUGCUCCUGCUUCUCUGGAGUGGACACAACCUGAAAACCAACUGGACUGAGCAUCCUUCUCCUAAAAUCUCAGCCAGAAGCCACGAUGGAGGGUCCUGGGAAGGGAAGAGAUGUGAAGAUUUCUGUGAUUCUAAAACCUUGGGUCUGCCUGCAAACUUCUCUCUGAUCCCAGCCGAGAGCUGUGCACACGCUAGCUAGCCCUGUCACACAAUAGCCCAGUGUUCCCGUCACAGUGCCUGGGAAUGAGAGGCUUUUGAGGCCACAGAGCUAUGACAAGUCCCCAGGUUGAAUUGACUCUGGGAGGACAAAUUUCUGAGAGACUCACGGGACCCUUAUCCAGGACAACCUCACAAAGAUCCCUGAAACUGAGCUUCCUCUGCUUCGUGCAUAGUUUGAGGUAUAAACUUUCCUUGUGUCUCGGUCAGAUGAAGUGAAGGAUGAAUAUUAUCCCAGGCUAAAGUAACGAAAAGUCCAGAAGCCAGCGAUGACAGAGAUGUGUGUGGAAGAAGGCUGUGAGCAUUUCCAUCAAACCCUGUGAGUUUCCGAAGAUCUUAUCCCGAAGAUAUGUGUUUGGCCAAUAAAACACUGAAUAAAAAUCCAUCAUGUUUCCAGA
This 717-nucleotide long non-coding RNA is filed under the name Homo sapiens (human). RNAcentral describes it as "non-protein coding lnc-LBR-1:5". The record is from RNAcentral. Lineage: Eukaryota; Metazoa; Chordata; Mammalia; Primates; Hominidae.